AACGCAUAUUGCGCUUCCUGGUAUUCCGGGGAGCAUGCCCGUUUCAGAAUCAAUAAAAACCUCACCGCAACUUGGUGCUUUAGGGCAUUGAGGACCGGUGGAUGUGGAUUUUUUGCUUUGGCAAUGAUCUGAAAUUGAUUGUAUGCGCACCAACUGAUUUGUCUUUUGGCUGUCCAAGUGCAACAAGUGGUUUAUCCAUUUCGCUUAGGCGACUGAUUGACAAUGUUGAUGUGUUUACUCAACCUUUAUUUGUGAGGUGCCGGUUUGCAAAGACUGGACCCUCCAAAAACUUGAUCUGAAAUCGGGUAGGAAAACCCGCUGAACUUAA
RNAcentral lists this unclassified non-coding RNA (328 nucleotides) under uncultured fungus. RNAcentral's name for it is "partial contains 5.8S ribosomal RNA, internal transcribed spacer 2, and large subunit ribosomal RNA". Lineage: Eukaryota; Fungi. The record is from RNAcentral.